This 57-nucleotide transfer RNA is filed under the name Listeria monocytogenes. RNAcentral's name for it is "tRNA-Lys". It matches the Rfam family "tRNA", at positions 8 to 61 of the family's 71-position model. From Rfam's summary of the family: Transfer RNA (tRNA) molecules are approximately 80 nucleotides in length. Their secondary structure includes four short double-helical elements and three loops (D, anti-codon, and T loops). Lineage: Bacteria; Bacillati; Bacillota; Bacilli; Caryophanales; Listeriaceae. The record is from RNAcentral.
UUAGCUCAGUUGGUAGAGCAUCUGACUUUUAAUCAGAGGGUCGCUGGUUCGAACCCA